This 114-nucleotide non-coding RNA is filed under the name Ligilactobacillus saerimneri 30a. Its description in RNAcentral is "Lactobacillus saerimneri 30a Bacterial large subunit ribosomal RNA". It matches the Rfam family "Bacterial large subunit ribosomal RNA", at positions 2811 to 2925 of the family's 2925-position model. The record is from Rfam by way of RNAcentral. Lineage: Bacteria; Bacillati; Bacillota; Bacilli; Lactobacillales; Lactobacillaceae.
AUUACGUAAGUAAGUAAGUAAGAUCCCUGAGAGAAGAUCAGGUAGAUAGGAUGGAAGUGGAAGUACAGUGAUGUAUGGAGCGGACCAUUACUAAUCGAUCGAGGACUUAACCGA